UUACAAAAAGAAGGAGUUUGAGAGAUGGAAGAAGGCUCAAAAUGAGAGAAAAAGAGGGAGAUAUAUUCUGAUAGCUAAAAAAAUGUUAAGAAAUAUUCUGAAAAAUCCCGGGGAUAUACAAAGAAUAUAUCGAAUAUACUGAUAAUAUACAAAACAUCAGAAGAAGAAAUCGAAAAGAUCUUGAGAAAUUCUGUAGAAAAGCUUAAGCAAGUUUGGGUCCAGGUUUCAAGUGGGUUAAUUCCUGGGUUCUUGUUGCACUACUAUUGUUAUUGUUGUUGUGUUACUACUGCUGGCUACUCUUCCUCCUUCUAUUUUCUAUUAUCCAGGUACACACUCUG
This 338-nucleotide long non-coding RNA is filed under the name Nicotiana benthamiana. RNAcentral describes it as "long non-coding RNA (NBEN_LNC009259)". The record is from RNAcentral. Lineage: Eukaryota; Viridiplantae; Streptophyta; Magnoliopsida; Solanales; Solanaceae.